RNAcentral lists this ribosomal RNA (264 nucleotides) under uncultured archaeon. Its description in RNAcentral is "partial 16S ribosomal RNA". It matches the Rfam family "Archaeal small subunit ribosomal RNA", at positions 748 to 1009 of the family's 1478-position model. The record is from RNAcentral.
CAGCCCUAAACGAUGCGCGUUAGGUGUAUCGGUGACCACGAGUCACCGAGGUGCCGAAGGGAAACCGUGAAACGUGCCGCCUGGGAAGUACGGUCGCAAGGCUGAAACUUAAAGGAAUUGGCGGGGGGAGCACCACAACGGGUGGAGCUUGCGGGUUUAAUUGGAUUCAACGCCGGAAAUCUUACCGGGACCGGACAGCAACAUGAAGGCCAAGCUGAAGACUUUGUCGGAUUAGCUGAGAGGAGGUGCAUGGCGUAGUCGUGU